This 659-nucleotide ribosomal RNA is filed under the name Klebsiella variicola. Its description in RNAcentral is "partial 23S ribosomal RNA". It matches the Rfam family "Bacterial large subunit ribosomal RNA", at positions 2263 to 2916 of the family's 2925-position model. The record is from RNAcentral. RNAcentral also lists the same sequence under 1 other name. Lineage: Bacteria; Pseudomonadati; Pseudomonadota; Gammaproteobacteria; Enterobacterales; Enterobacteriaceae.
GGGUAGUUUGACUGGGGCGGUCUCCUCCCAAAGAGUAACGGAGGAGCACGAAGGUUAGCUAAUCCUGGUCGGACAUCAGGAGGUUAGUGCAAUGGCAUAAGCUAGCUUGACUGCGAGCGUGACGGCGCGAGCAGGUGCGAAAGCAGGUCAUAGUGAUCCGGUGGUUCUGAAUGGAAGGGCCAUCGCUCAACGGAUAAAAGGUACUCCGGGGAUAACAGGCUGAUACCGCCCAAGAGUUCAUAUCGACGGCGGUGUUUGGCACCUCGAUGUCGGCUCAUCACAUCCUGGGGCUGAAGUAGGUCCCAAGGGUAUGGCUGUUCGCCAUUUAAAGUGGUACGCGAGCUGGGUUUAGAACGUCGUGAGACAGUUCGGUCCCUAUCUGCCGUGGGCGCUGGAGAAUUGAGGGGGGCUGCUCCUAGUACGAGAGGACCGGAGUGGACGCAUCACUGGUGUUCGGGUUGUCAUGCCAAUGGCACUGCCCGGUAGCUAAAUGCGGAAGAGAUAAGUGCUGAAAGCAUCUAAGCACGAAACUUGCCCCGAGAUGAGUUCUCCCUGAGACUUUAAGUCUCCUGAAGGAACGUUGAAGACGACGACGUUGAUAGGCCGGGUGUGUAAGCGCAGCGAUGCGUUGAGCUAACCGGUACUAAUGAACCGUGAGG